AAACGUGUUCUGGUGUAUUGCCAUUUCUUUAAACCAAUCACAAUCAUCAAGGGCGGCCCUAAGCUCCACAUGGAGCCGCUGCAAAAUAGCAUCGCGAAGGAAC
Molecule: long non-coding RNA, 103 nt
Organism: Etheostoma cragini (Arkansas darter)
Lineage: Eukaryota; Metazoa; Chordata; Actinopteri; Perciformes; Percidae
Exons: 3
Source: RefSeq, a predicted model, not a curated record